CACCGCCUGGGGAGUACGACCGCAAGGUUAAAACUCAAAUGAAUUGACGGGGACCCGCACAAGUAGUGGAGCAUGUGGUUUAAUUCGAAGAUACGCGCAGAACCUUACCAACACUUGACAUGUUCGUCGCGACUUUAAGAGAUUAAAGUUUUCGGUUCGGCCGGACGAAACACAGGUGCUGCAUGGCUGUCGUCAGCUCGUGUCGUGAGAUGUUGGGUUAAGUCCCGCAACGAGCGCAACCCUCACUUUUAGUUGCCAUCAUUUAGUUGGGCACUCUGAAAGAACUGCCAGUGAUAAGCUGGAGGAAGGUGGGGAUGACGUCAAGUCCUCAUGGCCCUUACGUGUUGGGCUACACACGUGCUACAAUGGUAUUUACAACAGGAAGCAAAACGGCGACGUUAAGCAAAUCCUUAAAAAAUACCUCAGUUCGGAUUGCACUCUGCAACUCGAGUGCAUGAAGCUGGAAUUACUAGUAAUCGUGGAUCAGCGCGCCACGGUGAAUGCGUUCCCGGGUCUUGUACACACCGCCCGUCACACCAUGGGAGUUGGUUCUACCUUAAGGCAAGGUUUAAAACCCUUGACCACGGUAUAGUCAGCGACUGGGGUGAAGUCGUAACAAGGUAGCCGUAGGGGAACCUGCGGCUGGAUUACCUCCUUUCUAAGGAUGAAUGAAAAUUUUUUUAUUCUAAAUAAUUAACAGGUUAAUGUUGACCGUCCUCAUUUCUCUUCUUUAAAUUUAGUGUUUCUCUUGCUGGGGGCCGGUAGCUCAGUUGGUUAGAGCACACCCUUGAUAAGGGUGGGGUCGAAAGUUCGAGUCUUUCUCGGCCCACCAAUUUAAUAGGGGGAUUAGCUCAGCUGGGAGAGCGCCUGAUUUGCAUUCAGGAGGUCAGCGGGUUCGAUCCCGCUAUCCUCCACCAGAAAACACUUAGUUAUUAAAAAUUGUGAAUAAUUUAAUAAUUAAUAUCAAUAUCUAUAUCCGAUUGUUAGAAUUUGACUAAUCAUAAAAAACUUCGAUUGAUGAACAUUUAAACAAAAUUUGAUCACACAGAAUUUUUUCUG
Molecule: small RNA, 1059 nt
Filed under: uncultured Pelagibacterales bacterium
Lineage: Bacteria; Pseudomonadati; Pseudomonadota; Alphaproteobacteria; Candidatus Pelagibacterales
Description: bacterial SSU rRNA
Rfam family: Bacterial small subunit ribosomal RNA (bases 1-658)
Source: RNAcentral